Molecule: long non-coding RNA, 1125 nt
Organism: Anolis carolinensis (green anole)
Lineage: Eukaryota; Metazoa; Chordata; Lepidosauria; Squamata; Anolidae
Exons: 3
Source: RefSeq, a predicted model, not a curated record
AGUUUCAGGAGGACUCUCUGGAGGGGCAUGCACUGCUGGUAGGCACACGGGGAAGGAGGACCACAGGAAGGAAGCAAGAUCAGAAGGGGGCCAAGGUUGGAAAAGGAUGAAAAACACUGCACUAAAGGAUUCUAAGUUCCUCUUUAAACUACAAAUCUCAGGAUUCUAUAGGAUGGAGAAUUGGCAGGGCGAAAGGGAGAAACCUGCCAAGAGGAAGGCUCGCCAAGCCAACCCUGACCAGGACUGCCGUCCACCUGGAAACUGAUAUUCUCACUGUGGAAGAACAUGCAGGUCAAAAAUAGGACUCUACAGUCACCUACUUAUCCACCGCUGAGACACUUCACUUGGAAGGCCAUCAUACUUGGACAAUGAGGAAUCGCCUACGUAAAUAAGUAUUCACUAUAUUAGUGUUAUUUGCAUGGAAAAAGCAAGACAGAAUAAAAGAAGAUAUACAGCAGUGCACCUAUAAUCAUUAUAAGGUUGACUUCAUAAAGUUACUCAUGAAAUCUUGUAUACUCUAUCAGAGAUAUCCAAAUGCAGAAGAAACAUGUAUUCUAUGCAACCAAAAUAAUGUGGAAUCACUGAUUCAAUGUAGUCACAUGACGCAUAAGACAGAUUCACAGCACAACUGCUGCAGCCAGUCUUACCCCACAACAUUGUAAAGUGAGAGUUAGUCCAGAGCUUACUGGAAGGUGUGAACAGCUGGACUGGGCUGGAUCUAGCCCAAUCCACUAUCCAUACCACCAACAGGCCCACCACUACCACAUCACCAGCAAGCAAGCAAGCUACUUCCUGAUGAUGUCACAUUUCUAGUGAUGUAAUGUUAAGUGCAAAGCUAUGUGACCAGAAAUGUCAUUAGCAAGACAGCAGUAGAUGUAUUUAUUGGGGUGGAAUGGAUCACCAUCUAUUAGGAUCGCAAAUCCAAUGGGGUAGCAGAGUUUGAGAUGAGUAUUCCUUGAGUUUAUUUGAUGCUUUAGGUAGACAAAGAUACAAGCAGAGUUCUUUUGAAAAUAACAAUGACCAUUUACUUAUAACUUUAUGUAUUUAACAAUACAGGCAUAUUUCUUUUGACAGGGUAAACUUCAAAAUGUUGAGAGUUUGUAUAUUAAACUUCUUCAUAAACUA